This 512-nucleotide ribosomal RNA is filed under the name Clostridium botulinum C. Its description in RNAcentral is "bacterial SSU rRNA". It matches the Rfam family "Bacterial small subunit ribosomal RNA", at positions 187 to 716 of the family's 1533-position model. Lineage: Bacteria; Bacillati; Bacillota; Clostridia; Eubacteriales; Clostridiaceae. The record is from RNAcentral.
GGCAUCAUAGAAUAAUCAAAGGAGCAAUCCGCUUUGAGAUGGACCCGCGGCGCAUUAGCUAGUUGGUGAGGUAAGGGCUCCCCAAGGCGACGAUGCGUAGCCGACCUGAGAGGGUGAUCGGCCACAUUGGAACUGAGACACGGUCCAGACUCCUACGGGAGGCAGCAGUGGGGAAUAUUGCGCAAUGGGGGAAACCCUGACGCAGCAACGCCGCGUGAGUGAUGAAGGUUUUCGGAUCGUAAAACUCUGUCUUUAGGGACGAUAAUGACGGUACCUAAGGAGGAAGCCACGGCUAACUACGUGCCAGCAGCCGCGGUAAUACGUAGGUGGCAAGCGUUGUCCGGAUUUACUGGGCGUAAAGAGUAUGUAGGUGGGUGCUUAAGUCAGAUGUGAAAUUCCCGGGCUUAACCUGGGCGCUGCAUUUGAAACUGGGCAUCUAGAGUGCAGGAGAGGAAAGUGGAAUUCCUAGUGUAGCGGUGAAAUGCGUAGAGAUUAGGAAGAACACCAGUGGC